UACGUAGGGUCCGAGCGUUGUCCGGAGUUACUGGGCGUAAAGCGCGCGCAGGCGGCUCGUCAAGUCUGGCGUGAAAGCCCCCGGCUCAACCGGGGAGGGUCGUCGGAGACUGGCGAGCUUGAGGGCGGUAGGGGCUGGUGGAAUUCCCGGUGUAGUGGUGAAAUGCGUAGAGAUCGGGAGGAACACCCGUGGCGAAGGCGGCCAGCUGGGCCGUCCCUGACGCUGAGGCGCGAAGGCGUGGGGAGCAAACAGG
Molecule: ribosomal RNA, 253 nt
Filed under: uncultured bacterium
Lineage: Bacteria
Description: partial 16S ribosomal RNA
Rfam family: Bacterial small subunit ribosomal RNA
Source: RNAcentral